This 384-nucleotide ribosomal RNA is filed under the name Triticum aestivum (bread wheat). Its description in RNAcentral is "partial small subunit ribosomal RNA". The record is from RNAcentral. Lineage: Eukaryota; Viridiplantae; Streptophyta; Magnoliopsida; Poales; Poaceae.
AUGUGCUUGCGGGAUAGGGAUCUCUGGCUUAUGCGGUGCCCACUGAUAUGCAACUGGGCUGUUGAGUUUCAUUUGCCACAUCGCGUGUUUCGUCGGUUUGGUCUGUUCCAGCCUCACCCGCCGGAAUGGGUGGAUACGGACAAAGCACUUCAUAGGUUGGACAGGAGAAGGCAACGGAAGAUAAAGGACUGGGACAAGCAUCAUGCUUCGUAUGUUACCCGCUUCCAGCUUUGCGUGGAGCAAGCUCGUAGCAGUGCACGCGCCCAGCUUCGUGAGUAUAACCCACUUGCUUUUGAUAACUACAUACGAUGGCUUCUUGAAAAUACUCGAGUUGAGAUAUGCCCGCCAGCAUAUAAUGAGGUGGUGUUCCGGGAGAACCCGUAA